This 464-nucleotide ribosomal RNA is filed under the name uncultured bacterium. RNAcentral's name for it is "partial 16S ribosomal RNA". It matches the Rfam family "Bacterial small subunit ribosomal RNA", at positions 29 to 507 of the family's 1533-position model. The record is from RNAcentral.
ACGCACGCUGGCGGCGUGCUUAACACCUGCAAGUCGAACGGAAAGGCCCUGCUUGCAGGGUACUCGAGUGGCGAACGGGUGAGUAACACGUGGGUGAUCUGCCCUGCACUUCGGGAUAAGCCUGGGAAACUGGGUCUAAUACCGGAUAGGAGCCAUUUUUAGUGUGAUGGUUGGAAAGUUUUUUCGGUGUAGGAUGAGCUCGCGGCCUAUCAGCUUGUUGGUGGGGUAAUGGCCUACCAAGGCGGCGACGGGUAGCCGGCCUGAGAGGGUGGACGGCCACAGUGGGACUGAGAUACGGCCCAGACUCCUACGGGAGGCAGCAGGGGGGAAUAUUGCACAAUGGGCGCAAGCCGGAUGCAGCGACGCCGCGUGGGGGAUGACGGCCUUCGGGUUGUAAACUCCUUUCGCUAGGGACGAAGCUUUUUGUGACGGUACCUAGAGAAGAAGCACCGGCUAACUACGUG